This 500-nucleotide ribosomal RNA is filed under the name uncultured bacterium. Its description in RNAcentral is "partial 16S ribosomal RNA". It matches the Rfam family "Bacterial small subunit ribosomal RNA", at positions 30 to 523 of the family's 1533-position model. The record is from RNAcentral.
AUUGAACGCUGGCGGCAGGCCUAACACAUGCAAGUCGAGCGGAUGAGGGUAGCUUGCUACCUGAUUCAGCGGCGGACGGGUGAGUAAUGCCUAGGAAUCUGCCCGAUAGUGGGGGACAAAGUUUCGAAAGGAACGCUAAUACCGCAUACGUCAUACGGGAGAAAGUGGGGGAUCUUCGGACCUCACGCUAUCGGAUGAGCCUAGGUCGGAUUAGCUAGUUGGUGAGGUAAUGGCUCACCAAGGCUACGAUCCGUAACUGGUCUGAGAGGAUGAUCAGUCACGCUGUAACUGAGACACGGUCCAGACUCCUACGGGAGGCAGCAGUGGGGAAUAUUGGACAAUGGGCGAAAGCCUGAUCCAGCCAUGCCGCGUAUGUGAAGAAGGUCUUCGGAUUGUAAAGCACUUUAAGUUGGGAGGAAGGGCUGUAGGCUAAUAUCCUGCAGUUUUGACGUUACCAACAGAAUAAGCACCGGCUAACUUCGUGCCAGCCGCCGCCGUAA